UGAUGUCAAGAGGCAGCAAUGAAACCAUC
This 29-nucleotide non-coding RNA is filed under the name Mus musculus (house mouse). Lineage: Eukaryota; Metazoa; Chordata; Mammalia; Rodentia; Muridae. The record is from RNAcentral.